AUGGGUGUGAUGAUUAUUUCCCCAGAUGAUCGAAGCUGAUUAAACUGUGCGAUUUUUCUCUCGAUUGUGGAGAAUCCAAGCCAGUAUUCUGAUCCAU
Small nucleolar RNA from Mangifera indica (mango), 97 nucleotides. RefSeq annotates it as small nucleolar RNA Z103. The record is from RefSeq and is a predicted model, not a curated record. NCBI's taxonomy places the organism in Eukaryota, Viridiplantae, Streptophyta, Magnoliopsida, Sapindales, Anacardiaceae. The transcript has a single exon.